This 593-nucleotide ribosomal RNA is filed under the name uncultured Bacteroidota bacterium. RNAcentral's name for it is "bacterial SSU rRNA". It matches the Rfam family "Bacterial small subunit ribosomal RNA", at positions 122 to 715 of the family's 1533-position model. Lineage: Bacteria; Pseudomonadati; Bacteroidota. The record is from RNAcentral.
CAACCUGCCGAUGACUCGGGGAUAGCCUUUCGAAAGAAAGAUUAAUACCCGAUGGCAUAGUUCUUCCGCAUGGUAGAACUAUUAAAGAAUUUCGGUCAUCGAUGGGGAUGCGUUCCAUUAGGUUGUUGGCGGGGUAACGGCCCACCAAGCCUUCGAUGGAUAGGGGUUCUGAGAGGAAGGUCCCCCACAUUGGAACUGAGACACGGUCCAAACUCCUACGGGAGGCAGCAGUGAGGAAUAUUGGUCAAUGGACGAGAGUCUGAACCAGCCAAGUAGCGUGAAGGAUGACUGCCCUAUGGGUUGUAAACUUCUUUUAUACGGGAAUAAAGCGAGGCACGCGUGCCUUUUUGUAUGUACCGUAUGAAUAAGGAUCGGCUAACUCCGUGCCAGCAGCCGCGGUAAUACGGAGGAUCCGAGCGUUAUCCGGAUUUAUUGGGUUUAAAGGGUGCGUAGGUGUGAUUUAAGUCAGCGGUGAAAGUUUGUGGCUCAACCAUAAAAUUGCCGUUGAGACUGGGUUACUUGAGUGUGUUUGAGGUAGGCGGAAUGCGUGGUGUAGCGGUGAAAUGCAUAGAUAUCACGAAGAACUCCGAUUG